RNAcentral lists this ribosomal RNA (1050 nucleotides) under Pediococcus pentosaceus. Its description in RNAcentral is "bacterial SSU rRNA". It matches the Rfam family "Bacterial small subunit ribosomal RNA", at positions 434 to 1475 of the family's 1533-position model. The record is from RNAcentral. Lineage: Bacteria; Bacillati; Bacillota; Bacilli; Lactobacillales; Lactobacillaceae.
UUUUUAAAAAAAGAACGGGGGUAAGAGUAACCGGUUACCCCAGGGACGGUAUUUAACCAGAAAGCCAGGGCUAAAUUACGUGCCAGCAGCCGCGGUAAUACGUAGGUGGCAAGCGUUAUCCGGAUUUAUUGGGCGUAAAGCGAGCGCCGGCGGUCUUUUAAGUCUAAUGUGAAAGCCUUCGGCUCAACCGAAGAAGUGCAUUGGAAACUGGGAGACUUGAGAGCACAGAAGAGGACAGUGGAACUCCAUGUGUAGCGGUGAAAUGCGUAGAUAUAUGGAAGAACACCAGUGGCGAAGGCGGCUGUCUGGUCUGCAACUGACGCUGAGGCUCGAAAGCAUGGGUAGCGAACAGGAUUAGAUACCCUGGUAGUCCAUGCCGUAAACGAUGAUUACUAAGUGUUGGAGGGUUUCCGCCCUUCAGUGCUGCAGCUAACGCAUUAAGUAAUCCGCCUGGGGAGUACGACCGCAAGGUUGAAACUCAAAAGAAUUGACGGGGGCCCGCACAAGCGGUGGAGCAUGUGGUUUAAUUCGAAGCUACGCGAAGAACCUUACCAGGUCUUGACAUCUUCUGACAGUCUAAGAGAUUAGAGGUUCCCUUCGGGGACAGAAUGACAGGUGGUGCAUGGUUGUCGUCAGCUCGUGUCGUGAGAUGUUGGGUUAAGUCCCGCAACGAGCGCAACCCUUAUUACUAGUUGCCAGCAUUAAGUUGGGCACUCUAGUGAGACUGCCGGUGACAAACCGGAGGAAGGUGGGGACGACGUCAAAUCAUCAUGCCCCUUAUGACCUGGGCUACACACGUGCUACAAUGGAUGGUACAACGAGUCGCGAGACCGCGAGGUUAAGCUAAUCUCUUAAAACCAUUCUCAGUUCGGACUGUAGGCUGCAACUCGCCUACACGAAGUCGGAAUCGCUAGUAAUCGCGGAUCAGCAUGCCGCGGUGAAUACGUUCCCGGGCCUUGUACACACCGCCCGUCACACCAUGAGAGUUUGUAACACCCAAAGCCGGUGGGGUAACCUUUAGGAGCUAGCCGUCUAAGUGACAGAGAUGGA